AAACUUCAUCCUUUCUGUUUUCGUAUAUCCUUAAUAAUACGGUUUAGGGGUUUCUACCUGGGAACCGUAAAUUCCCGGCUACGAAAAAUAUGCGUGCAUAU
Molecule: non-coding RNA, 101 nt
Filed under: Sporolactobacillus inulinus
Lineage: Bacteria; Bacillati; Bacillota; Bacilli; Caryophanales; Sporolactobacillaceae
Also listed under: 1 other name
Description: Guanine sequence
Rfam family: Purine riboswitch aptamer
About the family: Riboswitches are metabolite binding domains within certain messenger RNAs that serve as precision sensors for their corresponding targets.
Source: Rfam by way of RNAcentral